Camelina sativa (false flax) is the source of this 902-nucleotide non-coding RNA. Lineage: Eukaryota; Viridiplantae; Streptophyta; Magnoliopsida; Brassicales; Brassicaceae. The record is from RefSeq and is a predicted model, not a curated record.
ACAAACUGAAUUAAUCUUUCGAGUUUCGAUGAUAGGGUAACAAUUAACAAACAAACAAACAAGUGAAGAGAAGUAAACACAAAAAUAUCUCUCAUGAAUCGAUUUAUGGAUCUGUAAUCGAAUCGAUCUUCCUUUAAUCAAUUUUCUCAUUCCACCGUUCAACAUCCGAUUCAGAUGUGGAAAUCCUGGAUCUGUGGGUACAAAAUAUCCGAUAAGCUUUUGAAGCCGGCGAGUUUUGCUUUUGCAGGGAGCACGAAGAGGAGUGUUAUUAGCUUCUCUGCAAACCGAGAUAUGUUAUACCCAGAGGGCCGUAGAGAUAUAUGGGUGGGGUGGUUUCAAAUGGUGAUGGUGGAGGAUUACAGAUUUGAGUUGGCGAUACAGCUCGGUUGGCAGUCGCGAAAGGACAUUACUGCUGUAGAGGCACAAAAUUGAGUCUAAACGGAAGCAGCUUGGAGAAUUAGCUAUGUCAAUUAAUGUUCGAUGAUUACUAUGAAGAUGGAUUUGAUGAAGCUGGCAGCACUUGCUAAAGAGCAAAGAAAGAACAAUGAGCCUCAAGGAGACUUAUGGGAAGUCAUUUGCAGGUCAGUCGGUGAAUGAUCUUAAAGAAUAAUAAGGUCUUAACUCAAGACUGCAAAUCGAAUGAUGCAAUGGCCAAAUUCGUUUUGGUGGAUGCUGCAUACAAGAAGAGUACUGCAGAUUGUUAUUACAGCUUGAAAAAGACAUCAUGGGUUCUAGAUUUGAUGUGAGAGCUGUUGCAAAGACGUGUCUCAGGGAUAUCGCAAGGUUUGCUGAUAAGAGAUAUAUGUUAAUGGUUGCUAGUAGUGAGUUUUCAAGCUGUUAGUGUGUUCUGUUUUUAACAAGAUGGUUGAGCAGGGGUUCUGUUCUAGUUUCAGUUGUUUAAA